RNAcentral lists this unclassified non-coding RNA (345 nucleotides) under soil metagenome. RNAcentral's name for it is "partial contains 5.8S ribosomal RNA, internal transcribed spacer 2, and large subunit ribosomal RNA". The stretch from base 1 to 120 matches the Rfam family "5.8S ribosomal RNA", at positions 35 to 154 of the family's 154-position model. The record is from RNAcentral.
GAUGAAGAACGCAGCGAAAUGCGAUACGUAAUGUGAAUUGCAGAAUUCAGUGAAUCAUCGAGUCUUUGAACGCACAUUGCGCCCCCUGGUAUUCCGGGGGGCAUGCCUGUCCGAGCGUCAUUGCUGCCCUCAAGCACGGCUUGUGUGUUGGGCCUCCGUCCUCCUCCCGGGGGACGGGCCCGAAAGGCAGCGGCGGCACCGCGUCCGGUCCUCGAGCGUAUGGGGCUUCGUCACCCGCUCUUGUAGGCCCGGCCGGCGCUUGCCGACACAUCAAUCUUUUUUCCAGGUUGACCUCGGAUCCGGUAGGGAUACCCGCUGAACUUAAGCAUAUCAAUAAGCGGAGGA